Molecule: ribosomal RNA, 493 nt
Filed under: uncultured bacterium
Lineage: Bacteria
Description: partial 16S ribosomal RNA
Rfam family: Bacterial small subunit ribosomal RNA
Source: RNAcentral
AUUGAACGCUGGCGGCAUGCUUUACACAUGCAAGUCGAACGGUAACAGGUUAAGCUGACGAGUGGCGAACGGGUGAGUAAUGCAUCGGAACGUGCCCGGUCGUGGGGGAUAACGCAGCGAAAGCUGCGCUAAUACCGCAUACGAUCCGAGGAUGAAAGCGGGGGACCGUAAGGCCUCGCGCGAUCGGAGCGGCCGAUGUCAGAUUAGGUAGUUGGGGGGGUAAAGGCGCACCAAGCCAACGAUCGGUAGCUGGUCUGCGAGGACGACCAGCCAGACUGGGAAUGAGACACGGCCCAGAGUCCUACGGGAGGCAGCAGUGGGGAAUUUUGGACAAUGGGCGCAAGCCUGAUCCAGCCAUUCCGCGGGCAGGACGAAGGCCUGCGGGUUGUAAACUGCUUUUGUACGGAACGAAAAGCCUUGGGCUAAUACCCCGAGGUCAUGACGGUACCGUAAGAAUAAGCCACGGCUAACUACGUGCCAGCAGCCGCCGUAA